Molecule: ribosomal RNA, 438 nt
Filed under: uncultured bacterium
Lineage: Bacteria
Description: bacterial SSU rRNA
Rfam family: Bacterial small subunit ribosomal RNA
Source: RNAcentral
GAACGCGAAGAACCUUACCAGGUCUUGACAUUGAUGGACGAAACAAGAGAUUGUUUUUCUCCUUCGGGAGCCAGAAAACAGGUGGUGCACGGCUGUCGUCAGCUCGUGUCGUGAGAUGUUGGGUUAAGUCCCGCAACGAGCGCAACCCCUAUCUUAUGUUGCCAGCACUUCGGGUGGGAACUCAUGAGAGACUGCCGCAGACAAUGCGGAUGGAAGUGCGUGGGAUGACGUCAAGUCAUCAUGCCCCUUAUGACCUGGGCUACACACGUACUACAAUGGGCUUUAAUAGAGGGAAGCGAAGCCGCGAGGUGGAGCAAACCCCAGAAACAAGCUCUCAGUUCGGAUCGUAGGCUGCAACUCGCCUACGUGAAGUCGGAAUCGCUAGUAAUCGCAGGUCAGCAUACUGCGGUGAAUACGUUCCCGGGUCUUGUACACACC